This 300-nucleotide ribosomal RNA is filed under the name uncultured Desulfurococcus sp. RNAcentral's name for it is "bacterial SSU rRNA". It matches the Rfam family "Bacterial small subunit ribosomal RNA", at positions 496 to 795 of the family's 1533-position model. Lineage: Archaea; Thermoproteati; Thermoproteota; Thermoprotei; Desulfurococcales; Desulfurococcaceae. The record is from RNAcentral.
GGGAAGUCCGGGCCAGCGGCGGCGGUAAUAGGUGGGGUGCGAUCGUUAAUCGGAAUUACUGGGCGUCAAGCGGGCGCAGGCGGUUUUGUAAGACAGACGUGAAAUCCCCGGGCUUAACCUGGGAACUGCGUUUGUGACUGCAAGACUAGAGUACGGCAGAGGGGGGUGGAAUUCCACGUGUAGCAGUGAAAUGCGUAGAGAUGUGGAGGAACACCAAUGGCGAAGGCAGCCCCCUGGGUCGAUACUGACGCUCAUGCACGAAAGCGUGGGUAGCAAACAGGAUUAGAUACCCCUGUAGUC